GGGAGUGUGACAUAGCCGUUAGCGCGCUGGGUUCUUGUCCCAGAGGUUGUGGGGUCGAGUCCUGUUGCUCCUC
Molecule: transfer RNA, 73 nt
Filed under: Candidatus Acetothermia bacterium
Lineage: Bacteria; Candidatus Bipolaricaulota
Description: tRNA-Lys
Rfam family: tRNA
About the family: Transfer RNA (tRNA) molecules are approximately 80 nucleotides in length.
Source: RNAcentral